AAAUUUUAUAGUAAUAUAUUUUGUUUAUUAUUUUUAUUCGUUCAAUCUCGCCCUCUUUUUAUAUUAUUUUUAUAAUUGGUCCCACAUAGAUAAUAUGACUAUCCACGAAAAUUACGACAAAUUAUAGUAUCAACAUGUGACAUGUAAGUUAUAUUUAAAAAAAAAUUAUAAAGUGAUUAUAAAAUUGUAGGAUCCUAUAUAUCUAUACAUUGAGAUUAUAAUUUUUCGAAAUAAUUACGGUCAAUU
This 246-nucleotide unclassified non-coding RNA is filed under the name Hevea brasiliensis (rubber tree). The record is from RNAcentral. Lineage: Eukaryota; Viridiplantae; Streptophyta; Magnoliopsida; Malpighiales; Euphorbiaceae.